Molecule: ribosomal RNA, 428 nt
Filed under: Caloramator sp. JW/JH-1
Lineage: Bacteria; Bacillati; Bacillota; Clostridia; Eubacteriales; Clostridiaceae
Description: bacterial SSU rRNA
Rfam family: Bacterial small subunit ribosomal RNA
Source: RNAcentral
GAACGCUGGCGGCGUGCCUAACACAUGCAAGUCGAGCGGAGGGGAGAGAAGUUUACUUCUUGAACCUUAGCGGCGGACGGGUGAGUAACACGUGGGUAACCUGCCCUUGAGAGGGGGAUAACAGGUCGAAAGGCCUGCUAAUACCGCAUAACGCUAAGAUGCCGCAUGGCGUCUUAGCCAAAGGUUAAUUCCGCUCAAGGAUGGGCCCGCGGCCCAUUAGCUAGUUGGUGAGGUAAUGGCUCACCAAGGCGACGAUGGGUAGCCGGCCUGAGAGGGUGGUCGGCCACACUGGGACUGAGACACGGCCCAGACUCCUACGGGAGGCAGCAGUGGGGAAUAUUGCGCAAUGGGGGAAACCCUGACGCAGCGACGCCGCGUGAGCGAUGAAGGCCUUCGGGUUGUAAAGCUCUGUCUUCCCUGACGAUAAU